UAGGCAUCUGACAUUGCCAAUAAUUGUACGCUGAACAAACCAAUAGCUUUGAUCGGGACCGACCUUCAAGAAAGAUUAAUUAUGACUCAGAUGAUGACGGAGCUCACCUCCCAACACCAUUGUUGAGAGAUAAGCUUGGGGGUCAUUCCGGUGAAGCAAUCCAAUGGGGAUGAAAUUGUUUGCUCUACUACUCAAGGUGAAUGCAAAUGGAUGAAAUGGUACCUUCGCACACAAAAAGUUCAAAGAUGAAGCUUAAUUCCAUGAUACUAUAUAAUCCUCAUCACUUGAUGAAUUAUGUAUUUUGUGAACGUUGUGUAGUUGCUAAUUCAAUUUGAUAUAUUUAUUUUAUUAUUGGCUAAUUUAUAUAUAGUUUUUAAUGUAGAUUUCAAUAGAGAAAGCCAUUGUACUAAAUACAUAAAUUAUGUAUUAUUUCAUGUCAUAGUUUUAAUGUUGUUUCUUAUAAUAUUAAAACUAUAUAUAUAACUUUUGAGUCCUUGAUGAAAAUCAAGGGAUUUGGGAGAGGCAAAUGUUGCUACUUUUACCAGAAAGUUCCAUAGAGGAAGAAGAAUGGUGGUCAAGGAAAUAAAGCUAACCCUGCUGCUGCUAAAACAAGCAAGAAAACCAAGGCUGCAAAGGGAAUAUGUUUCCAUUGUAACCGGGAGGGACAUUGGAAGAGAAACUGUACUAAGUACUUGGCAGAAAAGAAAAAGGCCAAACAAGGCAAUUAGUUCCUGGCGACAGUUGGAGACUGGAGAGAUGACGAUGUGGAUUGGAACUGGCAUGUCAUCUUAGCAAUUGCAGUGGGAGGACUUCGACUUUGUUUACAGAAAUCUUUUCUUUUGUUAGAAAAUGUAUAUGUUGUUUCUGAUUUAAAAAGGAACUUGAUUUAUGUAAAGUUGCUUACUAAAACAAUCUUACUCGUUAACUUUUAAUGUAAAUAAAGUGUUUAUUUGCAAA
This is a long non-coding RNA of Cucumis melo (muskmelon), 957 nucleotides long. RefSeq lists it as uncharacterized. NCBI's taxonomy places the organism in Eukaryota, Viridiplantae, Streptophyta, Magnoliopsida, Cucurbitales, Cucurbitaceae. The transcript has 3 exons. The record is from RefSeq and is a predicted model, not a curated record.